CUGAUUAUUAACUAGGUGAAGGUAAUGGGAGCAUAUGGAAAAGGAUGCAUGUAGGGGGUGGGAAGCCAAACGUGUACAAGGCACUUUAAACAACAUGUGUCAAAAAACUGCAAUUAAUGAUACGAAAAUAUGUGGCGGACAUGAAAUUACACAUAGAGAAAAGGAAUGCAGCCCGGACAGCUGGAAAUAUUAAGGGGAUCGGGUACAAAUAGCAAG
Non-coding RNA from Pelobates cultripes (western spadefoot toad), 216 nucleotides. NCBI's taxonomy places the organism in Eukaryota, Metazoa, Chordata, Amphibia, Anura, Pelobatidae. The record is from the annotation of a GenBank genome assembly.